GGUCAAGCUACAAAGAGUCAAUGCACGGAUGACUUGGUUAGGUGAGGCGAAGAAGGACGGGGUAAGCACCGAUAUGCCUCGGGGAGCCGCAAACUGGCUUUGAUCCGAGGAAUUCCGAAUGGGGCAACCCAUCAUGGGUUAUACCAUGAUAUUCCCUAGUUGAAUUCAAUAGACAUGGGAAAGCGAUACCAGGCGAACUGAAACAUCUAAGUACCCUGAGGAAAAGAAAUCACCGAGAUUCCCCUAGUAGUGGCGAGCGAAGCGGGAACAGUCUAAACCUUUUUUCCGCAAGGAAAAAAGGGGUUGCGGGACCUCGAUGUGGGAUUGUCUUAGGAUAGCAGAAGUAUCUGGAAAGAUACGCCAAAGAGAGUGAAAGCCUCGUAAGCGAAAUUUUAAGACACCCUAGAGGUAUCCCAAGUAACACGGGACACGGGAAAUCCUGUGUGAAUCUGGGCCGACCACGGUCUAAGACUAAAAACUACACCUAAACCGAUAGUGCACAAGUACCGUGAGGGAAAGUUGAAAAGAACGCUGGUGAAGCGAGUGAAAUAGAACCUAAAAUCAUUGACUUACAAGCUGUGGGAGGGCUAUGCUAUUGGCGCAAGCUAAUAGAAUGCCUGACCGCGUACCUUUUGUAUAAUGGUCCGACGAGUUACUGUGCGGUGCAAGCUUAAUCUUGCCAUGAAAGUGUCAAGAGGAGGCGAAGCGAAAGCGAGUCCUAACUGGGCGAUUUAGUACCGUAUAGUAGACCCGAAGCUGAGUGAUCUAUCCAUGGUCAGCGCGAAGCUCUCCGAAAGGAGAGUGGAGGUGCGAACCCUUCAGUGUUGAAAAACUGUGGGAUGAACUGUGGAUUGGAGCGAAAGACUAAACAAACUCAGAAAUUGCUGGUUCUCCCCGAAAUAUUUCUAGGGAUAGCCUCGGAUAAAUAAAUAGUAGGGGUAGGGUGCUGAAUGGGCUACGGGAGCAUACUAGCUUGCUGAGCCCAACCAAACUUCGAAUACUACUAUUUUUAUUCCGGGAGUAAGACAAUGGGGGCUAAGCUUCAUUGUCAAAAGGGUAUCAGCCCAGACUGUCAGCUAAGGUCCCUAAGGAUAGGCUAAGUGGUAAAGGAUGUGAAUUCACUAAAACAACCAGGAUGUUGGCUCAGAGGCAGCCAUCAUUUAAAGAGUGCGUAACAGCUCACUGGUCGAGUGAUUUCGCGCCGAAGAUGAUCGGGGCUUAAGCCUAUUACCGAAGCUGCAGAUUAGUUUUGCCUUUGGGCAAGACUAGUGGUAGGGGAGCAUUGUCUAGUUGGUUGAAGCUGUACCGUUAGGAGCAGUGGACACUAGACAAGGGAUUAUGUCGGAAUAAGUAGCGAAAAUGCCUGCGAGAAACGGGCACACCGAAAUUCUAAGGUUUCCUGGGGAAGGUUAAUCCGCCCAGGGUUAGUCGAUCCUAAGCUGAGGCCGUAUGGCGUAAGCGAUGGACAAUCUGUUAAUAUCCAGAUACUAGUUAUGAAGCGUUAUCACCUCUUGUUUGACGCAGGAGGCUGAGGGCUGCGCAGUGUUGGAUGUCUGCGUUCUCUGUUCCGGAAGGGACGGAGGGGACUUUGAGCGAAAGCGAUGAGGAAGUAUUCUUAAGCCAUGCUGCCGAGAAAAUUGCAAGUGGGAGUAGCAUAACUACUCGUACCGGAAUCCGACACAGGUAGAACUCCAGAAUAUGGUAAGGUGAUCGAGAUAACUCACGUUAAGGAACUCUGCAAACUAGCCCCGUACGUUAGCAAUAAGGGGUACCCUGGGGGUCGCAAGGCCUCUUCAGGGUCACAGUAAAGUGGAUCGGGUGACUGUUUAGCAAAAACACAUCACUCUGCAAACUCGAAAGAGGAAGUAUAGGGUGUGACACCUGCCCGGUGCUGGAAGGUUAAGGGGAUUAGUCAACGGAUCGUAAGAUUUGUGAAGCUUUGAACCGAAGCCCCAGUAAACGGCGGCCGUAACUAUAACGGUCCUAAGGUAGCGAAAUUCCUUGUGGGGUAAGUUCCCACGCGCACGAAUGGUGUAACGAGUUGGGCGCUGUC
Molecule: ribosomal RNA, 2053 nt
Filed under: Candidatus Omnitrophota bacterium
Lineage: Bacteria; Pseudomonadati; Candidatus Omnitrophota
Description: Candidatus Omnitrophica bacterium partial 23S ribosomal RNA
Rfam family: Bacterial large subunit ribosomal RNA
Source: RNAcentral